GUUUUGAUGGAGGCUGCUGGGUAAUUCUGAUGGAGGCUGCUGGGUAAUUCUGAUGGAGGCCGCUGGGUGGUUUUGAUGGAGGCUGCUGGGUAGUUUUGAUGGAUGCUGCUGGGUGGUUUUGAUGGAGGCUGGGUGGUUCUUCCCCUACCUGUCCUCUCUCACUCCCUCCUCUUCUUGAUGUUCCGUUUGGAUAACUGUCUCCCAUCAGGCUACUAGUCUAGUGUAGAAUGGAGGGAGGGAGGGAUAGUUCUUUAAGCCUGUAGAAUGGAGGGAGGGAGGGAUAGUUCUUUAAGCCUGUAGAAUGGAGGGAGGGAGGGAUAGUUCUUUAAGCCUGUAGAAUGGAGGGAGGGAGGGGUAGUUCUUUAAGCCUGUAGAAUGGAGGGAGGGAUAGUUCUUUAAGCCUGUAGAAGGGAGGGAGGGAUAGUUCUUUAAGCCUGUAGAAUGGAGGGAGGGAGGGAUAGUUCUUUAAGCCUGUAGAAUGGAGGGAGGGAGGGAUAGAGAGAUGAACAAUAAAGGAGUGAAUGAAGCAGAGGGGUGCCUGGAGGAGUGUAAAAACAUCUUAUCCCUCUCUCCCUGGCCAUCUGGUUGUUUGUUUGUGCUGGUGCAGAAAGUGUGUGUGUGUGUG
Molecule: long non-coding RNA, 625 nt
Organism: Oncorhynchus tshawytscha (Chinook salmon)
Lineage: Eukaryota; Metazoa; Chordata; Actinopteri; Salmoniformes; Salmonidae
Source: Ensembl